RNAcentral lists this transfer RNA (67 nucleotides) under Hydrochus carinatus. RNAcentral describes it as "tRNA-Pro". The record is from RNAcentral. Lineage: Eukaryota; Metazoa; Arthropoda; Insecta; Coleoptera; Hydrochidae.
CAGAAGAUAGUUUAAUUAAAAUUUUAAUUUUGGAGAUUAAAGAUAAGAGAAAAGAUCUUUCUUCUGA